Long non-coding RNA from Pseudoliparis swirei, 1062 nucleotides. RefSeq lists it as uncharacterized. The transcript is spliced from 2 exons. NCBI's taxonomy places the organism in Eukaryota, Metazoa, Chordata, Actinopteri, Perciformes, Liparidae. The record is from RefSeq and is a predicted model, not a curated record.
UCAAAGACAUCAUAACCCUUUCUGAUGAUGAUGUGAGAGUGGCAGAGGAGGUCCUCCAGGUGCUUAAACCCCUUAAAACUGUUACAUCUCUGCUGAGCACUGAAACGUUACCAUCUGUGUCAAUGAUCCUUCCGCUGAAAACAAGGAUUCUACAAUCCAUGGCUCCAAGUGUGGAAGACAGCACCAUCACUCAAGAUGUCAAGACUGCCAUUAGAGAGGACCUGAAGCCCAGAUACACUUCACCCCCUACUCUACAGGACUACCUCCACAGAUCUACUGCCCUGGAUCCAAGGUUUAAGUCCCUGUCUCACAUAGACCCUGACCUACGCCAGAGGACAUACAGUGACCUCACCACUGAGAUUGUGAGCAGUCUGGCCACUGAAGACUGUGAUGAGGGUCAAGCUGCAGAGCCAACAGGAGCAAACUUGGACACAUCUCCUCCACAAAAGAAGUCGGCGUUGGCAGAGCUUUUUGGAGAGACCUUUGCCAGCAAAGACAUGGACAGCAAGACUCCUGCUGACAUCAAAGAGGAGGUGGCAUUCUACCUGGCAGCAAGCGGCAUUGCAGUGGAUGGUGAUCCACUGACAUGGUGGAAAAGCAAUGAGUUUAAAUACCCUCAUAUUGCUAAGAUGGCAAGAUGCUAUCUCGCUGUGCCAGGCUCUUCAGUUCCUUCCGAGAGAGUGUUCUCAACAGCAGGGGACAUAGUGACUGCAAAGAGGUCCACACUCUCCCCAGACAAUGUAGACACCCUUGUCUUUUUGAAAAAGAAUUUAAAAUUAUAAGCUCAUGUAUGCUUUGUUUUCUUUCUUUAAUUCUUCUUUGAUAAUAAUGCUCUUGUUUCAAGGAAGAUGAUGUGCCUUCUUAUGUUGCACUUUAAUUUGUUUUUUAUUAAUGGUCAUUGGUCCAUGUUUAAAGGAAGGAGAUAUGCCUUUUUAUGUUGCACUUUAAGUUGUUUUUCAUUGAUUAUGUUGAAAAGAAGAUGUUAAUUGUACACUUUAAGUUGAUUUUAUAUAUUUCAAUUGAAUAAUUUAAAAGUGUUAAUAAACAAAAAGACAAAACAUG